This is a long non-coding RNA of Cervus elaphus (red deer), 651 nucleotides long. RefSeq lists it as uncharacterized. The transcript has 4 exons. NCBI's taxonomy places the organism in Eukaryota, Metazoa, Chordata, Mammalia, Artiodactyla, Cervidae. The record is from RefSeq and is a predicted model, not a curated record.
CAGCUGAAGGUGAAAGAGCUGUGUGGAUGCCUUUAAAGGUAUUUUCUCAGCCUGUAUGCGAGUUUGGGACAUAAUAUCCCCAAAGAAGACGCAGAGCAGGAGGAAGAAGACGAGGAGAUGGCAGCUUCUCAGGGACAGUUGACAUUCCGGGAUGUGGCCAUAGACUUCACUCAAGAGGAGUGGGAAUGCCUGGGCCUCGGUCAGCGGGCAUUUACACAGACGUGAUGUUAGGGAACUACGGGAACCUGGCCUCCUUGGGACUUGUAGUCUCUGGGCUGAAUCUGGUCACCCUUCUGGAGCAACUGAACAAUCCCAGGAGUAUAAGGAGAGUGGAGACAGCAGCCAUACACCCAGCUAUCUCUCCAUAAGACACCAGGAUUUGAUGCCAAAGAAACCAAGGAUAGAAGAUUUGUUUCCAGAAGCAAACCUAGAAAUAUACGAAAGAUUUCACCUCAGAAACUUUAAUUUAAUAAAACACUGGGAAUAUACAAGGGCAUAUAAAGACAGAGAAAUUGUUUAUAUGGACAUAAAGAAAUUGAGACAGUUACACAUAAUGCUAACAAUAAUGCAAAAAGAAAAGAGCAACAUGAGUCAAAUUGGGGAAGACACCAAUUUCAGUCUUCAACAUCUGCUGAGAAGUGUUAGUUUUUA